Molecule: ribosomal RNA, 253 nt
Filed under: uncultured bacterium
Lineage: Bacteria
Description: partial 16S ribosomal RNA
Rfam family: Bacterial small subunit ribosomal RNA
Source: RNAcentral
UACAGGGGGCUCGAGCGUUAGUCGGAAUCACUGGGCUUAAAGGGUGCGUAGGCGGCCCGCCAAGUGCUUUGUGAAAUCCCACAGCUCAACUGUGGAACAGCAGGGCAAACUGGCGGGCUUGAAGCAGGUAGGGGCUGGAAGAACAGUAGGUGGAGCGGUGAAAUGCGUAGAUAUCUACUGGAAUGCCGAUGGGGAAGCCGUCCAGCCGGGCCUGUCUUGACGCUGAGGCACGAAAGCGUGGGGAGCAAACAGG